RNAcentral lists this ribosomal RNA (896 nucleotides) under uncultured bacterium. RNAcentral's name for it is "bacterial SSU rRNA". It matches the Rfam family "Bacterial small subunit ribosomal RNA", at positions 28 to 896 of the family's 1533-position model. The record is from RNAcentral.
AAUGAACGCUGGCGGCGUGCUUAACACAUGCAAGUCGAACGAGAACAGGAUUGCUUGCAAUCCUAAGUAGAGUGGCGCACGGGUGAGUAACACGUAGAUAAUCUACCUUCAAGCCCGGGAUAACUAUUCGAAAGGGUAGCUAAUACCGGAUAAAGUGUUUUGUCACAAGACAAAGUAUGAAAGACUGCCUAUCCUUGGAAGCAGUUGUUUGGAGAUGAGUUUGCGGACCAUUAGCUUGUUGGUAGGGUAAAGGCCUACCAAGGCUGCGAUGGUUAGCUGGUCUGAGAGGAUGAUCAGUCACACUGGAACUGGAACACGGUCCAGACUCCUACGGGAGGCAGCAGUGAGGAAUUUUGCGCAAUGGGGGAAACCCUGACGCAGCAACGCCGCGUGAGUGAAGAAGGCCUUUGGGUCGUAAAGCUCUGUCAACUGGGAAGAAGUUAGUAUGCAUGAAUAGUGUGUACUAUUGACGGUACCAGUGGAGGAAGCGCCGGCUAACUCCGUGCCAGCAGCCGCGGUAACACGGGGGGCGCAAGCGUUAUUCGGAAUUAUUGGGCGUAAAGGGCGCGUAGGCGGUCUUGUCGGUCAGAUGUGAAAGCCCGGGGCUCAACCCUGGACGUGCAUUUGAAACAGCAAGACUUGAGUACGGGAGAGGAAAGCGGAAUUCCUGGUGUAGAGGUGAAAUUCGUAGAUAUCAGGAGGAACACCGAUGGCGAAGGCAGCUUUCUGGACCGAUACUGACGCUGAGGCGCGAAGGCGUGGGUAGCGAACGGGAUUAGAUACCCCGGUAGUCCACGCAGUAAACGAUGUACACUAGGUGUAGGGGAUAUUAAAAUCCGCUGUGCCGCCAGCUAACGCAUUAAGUGUACCGCCUGGGGAGUACGGUCGCAAGACUA